CUUGUAAGAAUAUCCAAGUGAAUCCAACGUCCACACUUAAUACAUUAAUAUUUAAAGGGGAGGUUCAUCCAAAAACACUUCUGGGCACUUUAGAACACUUACCUGGUCAUUUGUCAGUAAGCCAGUCAGUUUUUAGAUGUACAGUAGGUAAUACACUGAUUCUACACCCGCCUUCCCCAUAGAAAUCCCAUGCAAAGUCAAAGUCCAUAAUAAAUACCUCCCAAACACAUCGCUCUGGCCUCCCAUGACCACAAUAGUCCUUGUAAUUUUUCAGCGAACUUAUUUUAGUAGGCACAUUUUUACCAAUGUAUUUAGUUAUUUUCGUAUUGAAUUCCUGGAAGUAGAUGACUGCGCGCCGUGAGUCAGGACUUAGAUCAUAACUUCUGAGGUGGGGUUGGUUGAAGGAUGUGAACAAUAAUAUUUUUUUCUUACUCCCUCACAGUGUUUAUUGCCCUCAUCAAAUUUAAUUAGAGUAAAGAAUGUCAGAUCAAGAACGAAGAGGAAGUCGGAGACCAUUUUCAGAAUGGAACUCUUGUGCCAUAUCGGUUUGAGCCGUAUCAUACUGAGGCUGAGUUGUUCCAUUUUCGGAUGAGAGAAAUAAUCACGGUGACUGGUGGUGUCGAGAAUGGGACCAGUUUAUUCCGAUAAUGAAGGAGGUAGAACAUCAGACUGACAAUGCAGCAGAAGAUGGCGUGUGUAACUAAACACUCAUCAAUCCUGGUGUGUUGGAGACUUUCUUCAGAAUGCCCAGGAUCAACUGGACACGACGUGACACACCUGAAGGUCCAAAUGGCAAAAGCACAGUACAGACUGGCCUCUUAUUGGAUCCCCCUGGAGUGGAUGCUGAGGGGAGAACAUCUAGGUCGAGACCAACAACGUUUACUCCCAGCCUCUGUGGUUGCUGCAAUUACAGUACAUCCGACUACCCUGACCCCAACAGCAGCUACAUUGGAGUCCAGGAAGUUGAAUAACAUUUUCAAUAAAUAAAAUUGUAGUGUAUUUUUUUGUUGUAAACUAUUUCAUGUUAUUUUAUAACAACAAUUACACAGUUAGCAUGCCAUUCACACUGUCACUCAGCAUUGGUUAGAGCAGGGAUUUACAAACAUGUUCCUGGCGAUCAACCGUUUUGUCGAUUUUCACCCCGACAGGUAAGCUUGAUUAGGGUUGGAGGAUGGAAACCUAUAAGACGGUAACUCUCUAGGUAAGGUUUGAGAACCUUAGUGUUAUGUAAAACACAGAGAAGAUCCCAAUUGCGUACUCUGUGUCCUCUCGCCUUCUCAAAACACAAUAGAUGAGAAAGCCAGAGGACGGACCUCUGUCUUUCUCAUCCAAUGUGUUUUGAGAAGGAAACAAGGAGACAGGACGCGAGGAGUAUGCAAUUGAGAUAUUCCCACAGAAUCCGACUCAUUACUUAAUGAGCUGGCUCAUGCCUAGGAGGCAACCCGUUCCAAAACUUCACCUGGUGCAAAACACGCCUACCCGUUCGCCCAUGCCAGAUUUAUUGAAUCCCCUCAUUGAAUCGAACUGUGGUGUUCCCAUUCAAGACAUAAUGGCAUAAUGUGUGGACUGCCGGCCAUUGCGAGUGUACCCAUAGGAGCAAAGCAGGACGUAAAUAUCAAGUCACACGGCGAGACCCAGAUGCAGACACAGGAGGUAGAUGUUUGGAGUCUUACAAUGAUUAUUAAUCCAAAAGGUAGGCAAGAGAAUGGUCGUGGACAGGCAAAAAGGUCAAAACCAGUUCAGAGUCCAAUAGGUACCGAAGGUCAGGCAGAAACAAGGUCAGGCAUGCAGGAUGAGCAGGCAGGCAGCUAAGUAGUCCAGAGUCAGGCAGGGGUCAAAACCGGGUGGACAAUAAAAAGAGAAUAGAAAAGGAGUACGGGACAAACACACUGGUUGACUUGACUAAACAUACAAGACGAACUGGCACAGAGAGACAGGAAACACAGGGAUAAAUACACUGGGGAAAAUCACAAGGAGACAAUCACAAGGACAGGUGAAACAGAUCAGGGCGUGACAGUAAAAGCAUAAAGUAAAAGCAGGAAGUGUACCCAUCAAUCUGUGCUGUGAUUUGUUGGAUCAACUCAACUGACAUUUUGAAAAUGAUAUAUUCCAUUGCGUUUGCCAAAUCAGUUAGCAUCAUUUCAAUGAACAAUCAACAUUACCAUUGAAAUGAUUGCAUCACACACGGCAAGCGGUACCAAUGCGCCAAGUCUGGAACCAACAGGACCCUGAACAGCUUCUACCCCCCAAGCUAUAAGACUGCUAAAUAGAUAACAAAAUAGCUAUCCGGACUAUCUGCAUUAACCCUUUUUCACCAACUUUUUGGACUCAUCACAUACGCUGCUGUUACUAUUUAAUAUAUGUCACUUUAUUCCUAGUUAUAUGUACAUAUCUACCUCAAUUACCUUGUACCCCUGCACAUCGACUCGGUACUGGUACUCCGAGUACUGUAUAUAGCAGGUUAUUGUUACUCAUUGUGUAUUUAUUAUUACUUUUAUCAAUGGGUGUUAUUACUUUUCUAUUAUUUCUCUAUUUUCUCUCUUUCUGCAUUGCUGGGAAGGGCCCGUAAGUAAUAAUUUCACUGUUAAUCUCCACCUGUUGUGUCAUGAAUCCCGCUUCCUGAGUCUGUUUUCUGCCUGAGUUGCCUGUUUUCUGUCUUGGAGUCUGUUUCCUGAGGUUCCUGAACGCACCCUGUCUGGUUGCCGGGCGACGAAGCUAGGCGGGAGAUCUCUUGAUUACCCGCACCUGCAUCUCAUCAGCUAUCUGUACACCUGGUCCUGAUCAUCACCUCUCCACUUCAUAAGCUCUGACCUGACAUCCAUUCCCUGCCAGUCAUUCACCCCACCCCUGCCUGAUUGUCGGGGGCUUCUGUGACAUUGGAUCUGCCUAUUCACUCUCACCAACUCACCUCUGCUGCCCGCUCCGUCUCCUGGAUUAUUCUGCUUUCACAUUUGAGUCUGUAAAUAAAUAUUCACCUUGUCCUGGUCUGCUUCUGGGUUCUGCUUUAGAGAAUCGUGACAUGUUGUUUAUGAAGCGUGUGGUAGCAGUGGUGUAAAGUACUUAAGUAAAAAUACUUUCAAGUACUACUUAAGUAGUUUUUUUGGUGUAUCUGUUCUUUACUUUGCUAUUUCUAUUUUUGACAACUUUUACUCCACUACAUUCCUAAAGAAAAUAAUGUACUUUUUACUCCAUACAUUUUCCCUGACACCCAAAAGUACAAUCAUUGUUACAUUUUGAAUGCUUAACAGGACAGGCAAAUGGUCCAAUUCACACACAUAUCAAGAGAUUAUGUCUGAGUGUUGGAGUGUGCCCCUGGCUAUCCG
RNAcentral lists this long non-coding RNA (3323 nucleotides) under Salmo salar (Atlantic salmon). Its description in RNAcentral is "lncRNA (ENSSSAG00000090293.1)". Lineage: Eukaryota; Metazoa; Chordata; Actinopteri; Salmoniformes; Salmonidae. The record is from RNAcentral.